Molecule: long non-coding RNA, 750 nt
Organism: Culicoides brevitarsis
Lineage: Eukaryota; Metazoa; Arthropoda; Insecta; Diptera; Ceratopogonidae
Exons: 3
Source: RefSeq, a predicted model, not a curated record
AAUUUAAAUUUUCGGAAUGCAUCAAAUAGCAAUACAAGCCACUCCUCCAACUUAUAUACUAUUGAAAUUGCCGAACAAUUAAUACAAACGCACGCAUUAUAUGCUACAUAGAGAUAAAUACGAGGACAUUUCUUUGAAUUUACAUCAUUCGGUACUUGAAUGUUCAAGAGAACAGACGUGCGUUCUAAAAGAAAAAGGAAAAAAUAAAAUUUUGAUCUCAAGUGAAAGUUGAAAAAAAAAAUUGUUGGGAAUAAUAUUGAUACAAAUAAAUAUUGAGUGAAAAAUUGUGAAUUAAAAUUUUAACAAGAUGACACAACAGAUCUUCAAAAAACCCGAGAUCCCAAAAAUAAAAGUUAAGAUCAUCAGGUACAAAUCAGUUAAAGAAAUUGAAAAAAAGGUCUGGAUAUACCCAAGGAAAGUUGAAUAUAAAAGCAACAAAGGAAUCCGGAUUGAGUUUUCGGACUUUUAUACAAUAGUCCAGGAACCUUCGAUCAUAAAGAAAAGCGUCAUAAAAUCCAUCAAUGAAUUUUGCAAGCAAAAACAGCUUGCUGUUAUGUUCUCAAAAGGAAACAGAACGACGAAAGAAGUCAUCAAUACAACUUUCCGUCGUGUUAUCGAAAGUAAAGUUAAGAAAUAACUGGGAAAUAAUUUGAAAUGGAAAUAGAGAAUACCCACCCACUGUAUACAUGUGAUAUAACCUUAAAGUUAGUAUAAGACUGCAAAAAGACGCUUUUAUUGUUAAAUGUAGAA